AAAUGAAAAACUCCUAUAUAAGGCAAAGCUGCCUCUGGCUGUAACCCUAAUAGCACAGGUAGCACCGUUUGGCUCUUCAAGACUUGCUUCUUUACCAUUUCAUUCCUAAAACCCUAUUCUUCUUCGCUCAUUCAUCAGCACUGCCAUCGGCCCCAACCUCCCCACAAGGUCACAGGGACUAAAGAGGUGUACCACCAUGUCGGACGAUGAAAGGGAGGAGAAGGAGUUGGAUCUCUCUUCUGCAGAAGUUGUAACCAAAUACAAAACCGCGGCUGAGAUCGUUAACAAGGCCUUGAAGCUAGUUAUUUCAGAAUGUAAACCAAAGCGAAGAUUGUGGAUAUUUGUGAGAAAGGGGAUUCAUACAUUCGAGAGCAAACUGGAAAUGUGUACAAGAAUGUGAAGAGGAAGAUUGAGAGAGGUGUUGCUUUCCCUACAUGUUUGUCUGUAAACAACGUUGUCUGCCAUUUCUCUCCACUAGCCAGUGACGAGGCAGUGUUGGAAGAAGGUGAUAUAUUGAAAAUUGAUAUGGCAUGUCAUAUAGAUGGAUUCAUUGCUGCCGUAGCUCACACCCAUGUUCUUCAGGAAGGUCCUGUUACAGGAAGGGCAGCUGAUGUCAUUGCUGCCGCAAAUACUGCUGCUGAGGUGGCCUUGAGGCUUGUCAGGCCAGGAAAGAA
This is a long non-coding RNA of Glycine soja, 674 nucleotides long. RefSeq lists it as uncharacterized. The transcript has 6 exons. Lineage: Eukaryota; Viridiplantae; Streptophyta; Magnoliopsida; Fabales; Fabaceae. The record is from RefSeq and is a predicted model, not a curated record.